CAAUUGUGUUUGAUUCGGCAAUGGAUAGCAACAGUUGGAGGGCGCCUCAAGGCCAGAUGGCUCAGGGUCCACCUCAAGGUGGUCAAGUAGGCGGCAGUGGAGAAGUAUCGGCUGUCCCAAAUCCAGCUCCGCCCGCUACUAUUGACAGCGGCGAUUGGAGGACUCAACUCCAAGCUGAUUCUCGUCAAAGAAUCGUAAAUAAGAUAAUGGAGACUUUGAAGAGGCAUCUGCCAUUCUCUGGACAAGAGGGACUGCAAGAACUUAAGAAAAUUGCUGUGAGGUUUGAGGAAAAGAUUUAUACUGCAGCAACUAGCCAGUCAGAUUAUCUGAGAAAGAUAUCUUUGAAGAUGCUGACAAUGGAAACUAAGUCCCAAAAUCCCAUGGCUAAUCCGCUACAAGCUAAUGCUGCCAAUGCAAGCAAAAAUCCUCCAGACCAAGCUGUCCAUGGCAUGCAAUCCCAAAUUCAUAACCAGCCACUUCCCAUGCCAGUGGUGAGCAGCCAAUCACAAUCCCGACAACAGCUGUUACCACAAAACAUGCAGACUAAUAUGACAUCAACUGGAGUCCAGAAUUCUGCUAUUUUGGCUUCUACACUUCCAACUGCUGGUAAUUUGCAGCAGGCUCCCAUGCCUAAUAUUGGUCAGAACUCCAAUUUGCAGAACAUGCAGAGUGUUCCCAGUGUUUCUCAGAACCCAGUAGGGAGUUCCAUGGGACAGGUGAUGCCUUCAAAUGUUUUCACUAAUUCUCAAAGACAGAUGCAGGCUAGACAACAACAGGUUGUUCCCUUGCAGCAACACCAGCAGACACAGAAUCCACAGCAUUAUCUUUAUCAACAACAGCUGCAGCAUCAGUACAUGAAAAAAAAGUUACAACAAGGAGGAGGAAUGGCACAGCCCCUUAUGCAAUCUCAUAUCCAGCAGCAGCAGCAGCAGCAGCAGCAAAAUCUUUUGCAACCAACUCAAAUUCAAACCUCCCAGCAAGCUGUUAUGCAGCCAUCUGUAAUGCAGUCAGCUCCUCUAUCUGGCCUCCAGCAGAAUCAACAGUCUUCUAUGCAACAACUGACUCAACCAGUAAUUCAGCAGCAGUCUCAAGCAGUUUUGAGGCAGCAGCAACAGCAACAGCAACAACAGCAGCAACAGUCGCAACAGGCUUCCAUGUUGCAUCAGCAGCAAACCUCCAUGGCUCAACAGCCAUUACUGCCUGCAGCACAGCAGCCACAGCAACAACAGCAGCAGCUGAUUGGGCAGCAGCCUGGUGCUACAAAUAUUCAACACAACCAGCUCAUUGGCCAACAGAAUAGCAUGCCUGAUAUGCAGCAACAGCAACAAAGGCUGAUAGGCCAGCAGAACAAUAUGCAGCAGCAGCAGCAGCUAAUAGGUCAACAGAACAGCCUUUCGAGUAUGCAUCAACAACAAUUGGCCCCUCAAAGUAGCGUUUCUGGGCUCCAUCAGCAGUCAAUGCUAGGGACUCAACCUGGUAACUCUGCCCUGCCAACAAGUCAGCAUUCUGUCAUCAUGUUACAGCAAUCUAAGGUUGCGAUACAGCAACAAAUGCAGCAGAAUGCAACAGCAUUGCUACCAAGCCAAAAUCAACAGCCACAGCAACCGCAGCAACAGAUGGUAUCACAGAUUCAAGCACAACCAGGGGGCCUACAACAUAUGCAGCAGCAGUCAAAUGCGUUGCAAAGAGAUAUGCAGCAAAAGAUUCAACCUACAGGUUCUUUGCUUCAACAGCAGAAUGUUGUAGAACAGCAGAAGCAGUUAUUUCAGCCACAAAGAGCCCAUCCUGAGGCAUCAUCAACUUCGUUAGAUUCAACAGCUCAGACGGGGAAUGCAAGUGGUGGAGAUUGGCAGGAGGAGGUUUAUCAAAAGAUUAAAUCCAUGAAGGACAUGUAUUUCCUGGAAUUAAAUGACAUGUACAUGAAAAUUGCUGGAAAGCUGCAACAGCAUGAUUCUCUUCCUCAACAACCGAGAAAUGAGCAGCUUGAAAAGCUCAAAUUCUUUAAGCUCAUGCUGGAACGCCUAAUAGGAUUCUUGCGAUGUACCAAGAAUGACAUUCAGAUCAGUCACAAGGAGAAGUUGGCUUCCAUUGAAAAACAGAUAAUCAAUAUUCUUACUACAAAUCGGCCCCGGAGGCCCGUUUCUUUGCAACAAGUGCAACUUGCCCAACAGCAAAUGUCCAACAUGCAGCACUCUCAGCCUCAGACUCAAAUUCCUCAAAUACAGCCCCAGGAAAAUCAAAUGAACCAACAGAUGCAGCCAAUGAAUGUACAGAGUUCCAUAACACCAAUGCAGCCAAAUAGCUUGACCAGCCUGCAGCAGAACACAUUGUCCUCUGUGCCACCAGUUUCGAAUUUGCAACAGAAUAUGAUGAGUACCCUACAGCCUGCUUCGACUUUGGACCCAGGACAAAGUAAUACUCACCCAUUGCAGCAGAACCAGCAGCUUAAACAACAGGAGCAGCAAAUGUUGCAAACCCAGCAAUUGAAACAACAAUUGCAUCCCCGUCAGAUGCAGCAGCAGCUUUUGCAAAGACAACAGCUAAUGCAACAACAACAGCAGCAACAACAACAGCAGCAGCAACAGCACCAACAAAUGAAGCCACAGCAGCAGCCUUCACAGCUGCCCGGACACCAAAUGUCACCACUACAUCAGGUAACUGAUUCAAGUGACUUGAAGGUGAGACCGCAGAUAAGUGUUAAAUCAAGUGUUUUCCAGCAACACCAUACCAACAGCCAGCGAGCGGCAUAUCAUCACCAACAGUUGAAGUCGGGAAGCCCAUUUCCUAUUUCUUCACCACAAGUCCUUCAGGCAGCAUCGCCUCAGGUUCCCCCUCAUGCUUCGCCUCAAAUUGAUCAGCAGAGUAUGCUGACAUCUAUAGCAAAAACUGGAACUCCAUUGCAGACUGCAAAUUCACCCUUUGUGGUCCCAUCUCCUUCGACUCCCUUGGCUCCGUCACCUAUGCCUGGCGAGUCAGAAAAACUAAAUUCUGGCAUUUCAUCCCUCUCAAAUGCUGGAAAUAUUGGACCCUCGCAUGCAACUACUGUGUCUGCAGCAGCCCAAUCACUAGCAAUUGGCACUCCUGGGAUAUCAGCUUCGCCAUUGCUUGCAGAAUUUACGAGUUUGGAUGGAGCUCAUGUCAACACAUCAACUGCAAUGCCAUGCAAGCCACAUACUGUCGAGAAGCCACAUGAACGGUUGAUUAAAGCGGUAAAAUCAAUUUCAAAUAAAGCAUUGGUUGCCUCCAUUGAUGAUAUAAGCUCAGUUGUCAGUAUGGUUGAUAGGAUAGCUGGAUCUGCACCAGGCAAUGGAUCAAGAGCUGCUGUUGGUGAGGAUUUGGUCGCAAUGACAAAAUGUCGCUUGCAAGCAAGAAACUUUUUCACACAAGAUGGACCUACUGGAACAAAGAAAAUGAGGCGCUCUACGAGUGCAAUGCCUUCCAAUGUUGUUUCAUCUGUUGGUAGUGUGAAUGACAGUAUGAGGCAGUUAAACGGUUCUGAUGCCUUUGAAUUGGAAUCCACAGCUACAUCAAGUAUCAAAAGGGCAAGGAAUGAGGUUUUUCCAUUUCCUUGUCCAUCAUUAUUGAUCUAAAACAAUUUUUUGUCUAAAACAAUUGAGCCAAUGCAUAGUUUGUAUAUGUGGAAGUUACUAUCUCCAUGUUUGCUUAGGAUUGCAAGCUAUAUGCUUUUCUUAUCUUACUCCAUGGUAGAUUAACUAAUGGUGAAGGGAAGCUAACCGUCUCAUUCCAUCUAAAAUUUGAUGAUGUUAGAAGAGAUGUUAGCACAUCUAGUUUUAGAAUCUUACAUGCUUCCUUUGGUCAGGGUCUGAUAUGUUUGUUUUCCCAAAGUGCAAUAGACAAUGUGAUGUAGAACCGCAACCCAGGAUUCACUGUACCUACAUUGAAGUUGUCCGGAGCACCUUGUGGCUCUGAAGGAGAUAUGCUAUGCUAUUUGCCUCCCUCCCAUUUUUGGAAUUAAACCUGUGGGAAUUGUUUGAACAUAUUAAUGGUCUCUUUAUGUGGCAUAAUUCUCUUGCAAGUUGGCAAUUCAAUAUUUUUAAGUUUUCAAUCUCCUGAAUCACUUCUUUGUAUUAUUGAUUUUCAAAAUCAGGUUUUUGCUCUUCUCCUCCUCUUUGAUUCUUCUGCUGCUUUCCUCUCAUAUAUUCUUGUUCUCUGCCAUGGGCGAAGGCAAUGAGGAUACGUUGUUUCCAGACUGCUGGUUUGUGGCAUCUUUGAUUCUUUGUUGCAGCCUCUUGGUUUUAUUUGCUUUAGUUGAUCAUAGCAUUACUAUGUAACGCUCUGCUUUGGUGCUUUAUAAACUGGUAAGCCUGGAAUAAAACAUACUAGUGUUCAAGGCACACACUUUUGUGCAACCAGUAGGAAGAAUAUUAUAAAAAAUUUUGAGUAUAUUUGUCGAAAUCAUUUUCAGUAGAGUUGGUUUUAUAUAUUUGAUGAUAUAAUAGUAGAAAAUUCACCAAAAUAAAGUGUUUAAAUGGAUAGUUAUUUGGUAACCAUAAUUAGGAGUUGCUAAUAAAAAUUAGGGUUUAUAAAUAAGUGGAAAUUAGAAUAAAAAGAAAUACAUGGUACUUUGUAAGAGGAUAUAAGGUAGCGGUUUAGGAAGAAGAUAAGGUGACACAAAAUUGUUUACACUAGAAGUCCCCUCCCCCUAUAUAGCAUAGAUUUCUGUUCUGAACAGGAAAGUUUAUUGUUUUUAAACAAAUACCAAUCAACAUGAAGUCUGAAAAUCAUCACGCUGAUUUUCUGUUAUCCAUUCUUAGUCAUCUGAAACUAGCAUAGCUUAUUAGAUGUGUCUGGCAUCCAAGCCAGUUGUGGAUGUUUUUGUAUUUAGUGUAGAUGCCUCUCCAGAUGCUUAUCAUUGGACUUAUGUGGAUUUCUGUCAAUGAUGCACUUAUUUACUGAUCGAACAAUUUGUGACUGGUUGAAGGCCAACCAUGCCCUUGUGGAAGAGAUACAUGAGAUAAAUCGACGCCUCAUAGAUACUGUGGUUGAUAUCAGCAAUGAAGAUGUUGAUCCAACUGCAGUAGCUGCUGCAGCUGAUGGUGGUGAAGGGACCAUUGUCAAGUGCUCUUUCAGUGCUGUAGCUCUUAGCCCAAACCUGAAAUCACAGUAUGCUUCAGCACGGACGUCACCAAUUCAGCCUCUGCGAUUGCUCAUUCCAACUAAUUAUCCUGAUUCCUCUCCUAUACUCUUGGACAAGUUUCCAGUUGAAGUUAGUAAAGAGUAUGAAGAUCUUUCUAUUAAAGCCAGGUCCAAGUUCAGUAUAUCACUGAGAAGUCUUUCACAGCCUAUGUCACUUUUGGAGAUGGCAAGGACGUGGGACAUUUGUGCUCGUGCAGUUAUUUCAGAAUUUGCACAACAAAGUGGUGGAGGAACUUUCAGCUCAAAAUAUGGGACUUGGGAGAACUGUGUGAGUGCAGUUUAGUGAUCAGCGGUAUUUCAAGUGGAACUACAGGAAUUAGAACGAUAAUGAUUUGGACAAUCGUACUUUCAGCUGUUUCUUUUCAAUGAAGUUUGCAUUGAUCAUGAUUGUUUAUAGCUUCUCAAUGAAGGUUGUAGAACCCAAUGGCAGUAGAGAUACAAAACCAUCUAGUAUACAAUUGGGAAGGUAAAACUUUGUACUGCAUGUGAGUAUUCUGAGUGCCAGUUGAGUAAUUAUUCUAAGUAGUGCUAAAUGCUGAAUUUAUUGCGAAGUGUGUCACAAUUUCAUUGUUU
This is a non-coding RNA of Coffea arabica (coffee), 5730 nucleotides long. The record is from RefSeq and is a predicted model, not a curated record. NCBI's taxonomy places the organism in Eukaryota, Viridiplantae, Streptophyta, Magnoliopsida, Gentianales, Rubiaceae.